GGGAUAUAUGGUCACCCUGUAUAAAGAAUGUUAGGAUGUGUGGAUAUUUAAAACCUUUUAUUCUCAGCUGCAGACAUCAUCCUGUAAUGUGUGCAUGGCAGCAGUACCAGCAAUUAUCUUCCCAGUGCUCAGAGGGGACCUUCUGCCACCUUCUCAGGCUGGAGUGCUGCCAUGGAGUGUAGGAAUGUCUUUUUGAAUCACAUGCUGUCAUCAUUUAGAAAAAGGUUUGUCUCUGUUUAAUUCCGUUCAAACUCUACCAAUAUAGAAACAGAGAAAACUGUGCUUCUAAGUUGCGAUGGCAGAGUUGAGAAUUACUGCUCUCCUCUUUCUUCUGCUGCCUGCAUUUACUCACGAGGACAAGCUGAAAGUAGGUAACUCCUUGAAAGAAGGACGAUGCAUUGUUUUUGUCUCACCCUUAAAUUCCUGGAAGUAAUGUCAGAC
Molecule: long non-coding RNA, 441 nt
Filed under: Felis catus (domestic cat)
Lineage: Eukaryota; Metazoa; Chordata; Mammalia; Carnivora; Felidae
Description: lncRNA (ENSFCAG00000047233.1)
Source: RNAcentral